ACAUUACAUGGAACGCUUCCAUGUCGGGUUACGCUCGCAAAUAGACAUAUGAAGGUCACGCCCAUUUGCCCUACUUGCUCUGAGGGUUUUGAAGAUACAAAGCAUAUGCUUUUCCUUUGCAGUAGAGCAAAGGAGGUUUGGACAAGGCUGGGGAUGGAUGAUAUCAUUGAUAAAGCUUGCAAGGUUGACCUUGCUGGAGAGGCGGUGCUGGAAUACCUACUACUUCUGCCAGACCAAGAUUUGAGGAUAAUGGGUCAUCACAAUGUGCGUGAAAUGAUUGCUGUUUCAACAUGGUAUCUAUGG
This 303-nucleotide ribosomal RNA is filed under the name Triticum aestivum (bread wheat). RNAcentral's name for it is "partial small subunit ribosomal RNA". The record is from RNAcentral. Lineage: Eukaryota; Viridiplantae; Streptophyta; Magnoliopsida; Poales; Poaceae.